This 995-nucleotide long non-coding RNA is filed under the name Olea europaea subsp. europaea. The record is from RNAcentral. Lineage: Eukaryota; Viridiplantae; Streptophyta; Magnoliopsida; Lamiales; Oleaceae.
UGUAGAUGAUAUAAUAGUGGCUGGAAAUUGUGUCGAUAUCACCAAUGAUCUUAAAAUCUACCUCAGUGACAAGUUCAAAAUUAAGGAUCUAGGUAAGUUGAAAUACUAUUUAGGGAUUGAAGUAGCAAGGACUAAACAUGGCAUCGAUAUAUGUCAACGAAAAUAUGCUCUAGAUAUCUUGGCAGAUUCAAACACCAUUGGUUCGGUUCCUACUAGAAUUUUCCUUGAUCAAAAUGCGAAACUCAGCAAGGAUGAAGGAGAACUUCUCACAGAUCCAUUACUUUAGAGAAGGUUACUUUAUCUGACAAUCACCAAACCUGAUCUUGUGUAUUUCAAUUCAAAUGUUAAGUCAGUACAUGGAUAAUCCUAGAAUUCUAUAUCUACAUACUGCUCAUAAGGUAUUGCAAUAUAUCAAAAGGGAAGCUGGACAAGGGUUGUUCUAUCCCACAAAUUCAAAGCUAAAAUUGGAAUGCUACUGUUAUUCAGAUUAGGGGGCUUGUUUGGACACCAGGAGGUCAAUAACAGGAUACUGUGUAUUCAUUGGGAUAGUUGUAGUAUCAUGGAAGUCGAACAAAUAGCAUGUUGUAUCUCGAUCUUCUACUGAGGCGAAAUACAAGGCAAUGGCAAAUCUUUGUUGUGAGUUAACUUGGCUUAGGUUCUUGUUUAAGGAUUUGUUGAUUGAUCAUCCUCAAGUGGCAAUUCUGAAUCGUGAUAAUAAGGCAGCAAUUCAUAUAGCCACAAAUCCAGUUUUCCAUUAAAGGACCAAAUACAUAGAGCUUGAUUGCUAUUUUAUUUGAGACAAGAUACAAGAUGACAAUAUUGUCACCCAACACGUUCCUAGUACAUCACAAAAUUGUAGAUAUUUUAACCAAGGCCUUAAAUUCCCAAGGUUUUUAUUUUUGUACGUCCAAGAUGAGAGUAAUGGAUAUAUACUCUCCAUCUUGCGGGGCUGUUGAAGCUCGAAAAAGAUCCAGCAUUGGCAAAAGGCAAUCAUG